Molecule: ribosomal RNA, 253 nt
Filed under: uncultured bacterium
Lineage: Bacteria
Description: partial 16S ribosomal RNA
Rfam family: Bacterial small subunit ribosomal RNA
Source: RNAcentral
GACGUAGGGUGCGAGCGUUGUCCGGAUUUAUUGGGCGUAAAGAGCUCGUAGGCGGCUUGUCGCGUCGACCGUGAAAACUUGGGGCUCAACCCCAAGCCUGCGGUCGAUACGGGCAGGCUAGAGUUCGGUAGGGGAGACUGGAAUUCCUGGUGUAGCGGUGAAAUGCGCAGAUAUUGGGAGGAACACCGGUGGCGAAGGCGGCCCCCUGGGCUGGUACUGACGCUGAUGCGCGAAAGCGUGGGUAGCAAACAGG